CUUUCCCCCUCUUAAAAGCUACCUCUGCAUGUUGGCCACUCACAUGCCUCUGCUCCCUGCACUGCUCUGGGGGUGGGGGUUGCGGGGGGGAAGACAGGCCCUGCUGCAGACUCUCGUAGGUCCGGGCGAGCUCCUCCAACCUCUCCUCCAGCUCCCGGGCCCACUGCCUUAGCCGUUCAGCGGACUGUGCCUUUGCCCCCUC
Vicugna pacos (alpaca) is the source of this 202-nucleotide non-coding RNA. NCBI's taxonomy places the organism in Eukaryota, Metazoa, Chordata, Mammalia, Artiodactyla, Camelidae. The record is from RefSeq and is a predicted model, not a curated record.